GGUGAUGAGAACAUUUCAGAUCUACUCUCUUAGCCACUUUCAAGAAUAUAAUACAUGUCCUUGUUUGGCUUUGGUAUCAAGGUAGUGCUGGCCUCAUAAACUACAGGAAAUAAAAAGGCUACUGGAAUGCAGACCAGGAAGAAGUAUUCCCACAAGGCUUUGCAAAAUGAAAUCUACAAUCCCUGAG
Molecule: long non-coding RNA, 187 nt
Organism: Suricata suricatta (meerkat)
Lineage: Eukaryota; Metazoa; Chordata; Mammalia; Carnivora; Herpestidae
Exons: 3
Source: RefSeq, a predicted model, not a curated record